This 403-nucleotide ribosomal RNA is filed under the name uncultured bacterium. RNAcentral's name for it is "partial 16S ribosomal RNA". It matches the Rfam family "Bacterial small subunit ribosomal RNA", at positions 30 to 526 of the family's 1533-position model. The record is from RNAcentral.
AUUGAACGCUGGCGGCAGGCCUAACACAUGCAAGUCGAGCGAGCGGCGGACGGUUGAUUAAUGUAUUGGGACUGCCUGAUAGAGGGGGAUAACUACUGGAAACGGUGGCUAAUACCGCCUACUAUCGGUUAACCCAUAUGGGAUUAGCUACUAGGUGGGGUAAAGGCGCACCUAGGCGACGAUCCCUAGCUGGUCUGAGAGGAUGAUCAGCCACACUGGGACUGAGACACGGACCAGACUCCUACGGAGGCAGCAGUGGGGAAUAUUGCACAAUGGGCGCAAGCCUGAUACAGCCAUGCCGCGUGUAUGAAGAAGGCCUUAGGGUUGUAAAGUACUUUCAGCGGGGAGGCGUUACCCGAAGAAGAAGCACCGGCUAACUACGUGCCAGCAGCCGCGGUAAUAC